Molecule: long non-coding RNA, 406 nt
Filed under: Bos mutus (wild yak)
Lineage: Eukaryota; Metazoa; Chordata; Mammalia; Artiodactyla; Bovidae
Description: lncRNA (ENSBMUG00000016968.1)
Source: RNAcentral
UCAUUUUGUUACAUAGUAUGACUAUCUGACCUGCUUUUCUGUUUUAUUACAGCAAAAUGUAUCUAUGGAGGAAAAGUCCUUGCAGAAGGCCAGCGGAUUUUAAGCAAGAGUUGUCAGGAAUGCAGAGGUGGAGUUUUAGUAAAAAUUACGGAAGCAUGCCCUCUUUUGAACUGCUCAGAAAAGGAUCACAUUCUCCCGGAGAAUCAGUGCUGCAGUGUCUGCAGAGGUCAUAACUUUUGUGCUGAAGGACCUAAAUGUGGUGAAAACUCAGAGUGCAAAAACUGGAAUACCAAAGCUACUUGUGAGUGCAAGAAUGGUUACAUUUCUGUCCAGGGAGACUCUGCCUACUGUGAAGGUAAGUGAGCUAUUUAAUAAAAUCAACUUGUGAGAAAUGUAUUCCUGGUAG